This 341-nucleotide transfer-messenger RNA is filed under the name Sphingomonas sp. SCN 67-18. It matches the Rfam family "Alphaproteobacteria transfer-messenger RNA". From Rfam's summary of the family: Bacterial tmRNA, also known as 10Sa RNA or SsrA, is named for its dual tRNA and mRNA-like properties. Its role is to liberate the mRNA from a stalled ribosome. The record is from RNAcentral. Lineage: Bacteria; Pseudomonadati; Pseudomonadota; Alphaproteobacteria; Sphingomonadales; Sphingomonadaceae.
UCCCUUUUCAUUCAGGCGGAACGCCCUAUAUCGUUCGGUGCCGGAUUCGUCCGGCUAUGGCGAUAAAUGAUGCCGUGGAAUAGACGCAGCGGACCCGGGGGCAGUACCCGGCGGCUCCACCACCAGCCCCGGAAACGAGGCUGAUGACGGGGCCGAACCAGGAUCGACGUGUGUUCAAAGACGGUGUUUUCGCCCGGGCUGAGUAACCCGUUAAAGGCUCAAAACCACAAGUGCCAACGAUAACGAGGCGCUCGCGAUUGCUGCGUAAUCACGGCCUCACGGCUUAGAUUACAAGGCUUGAACGCGGUUCGGGCCGCACCGGGCAACAGAAGCGGAUUCCA